AAUUGGCCGAAAAAUACUGGCAAAGUCUGGUGGUGCCGCCACAGGAUACUUCAGAAAAUGCCUUUGAUGAGGCCCUUCUCGCUUCCCGUUUGAUGUAAUUUUUCCACCAUUGUGAUAACUGUUUCCUUCCCUACAGGUUGACCAUAGCAAAACACCCAACCGUAGUGUGAGCCAAAGGAGUCGUCGCACCGGAGAGCCCUGCUGCCAGUGAGUUUUAGUUUUUUACAUUUUUUCAGCAACCGAGGGCCCUAAGUGUUUUUUUUCAUAGGAACUGAUGCGAAUUUGGCUGAAUUCGGCUGAAAACGAUCGAGAACAGUCAACCUGAGGUGGAUCGCCGCCGUGCCGAAUUUUUAAAAUUAACUGAGUAGGCCCUGAGACUGAUUUUUGGGUUAUUUGGGACAUUUGUAG
This 408-nucleotide long non-coding RNA is filed under the name Carica papaya (papaya). RNAcentral describes it as "long non-coding RNA (CPAP_LNC001784)". Lineage: Eukaryota; Viridiplantae; Streptophyta; Magnoliopsida; Brassicales; Caricaceae. The record is from RNAcentral.